RNAcentral lists this ribosomal RNA (600 nucleotides) under uncultured bacterium. Its description in RNAcentral is "bacterial SSU rRNA". It matches the Rfam family "Bacterial small subunit ribosomal RNA", at positions 339 to 955 of the family's 1533-position model. The record is from RNAcentral.
CUACGGGAGGCAGCAGUGGGGAAUCUUGCACAAUGGGCGAAAGCCUGAUGCAGCAACGCCGCGUGCGGGAAGAAGGCCCUAGGGUUGUAAACCGCUUUCAGUAGGGAAGAAAAUGACGGUACCUACAGAAGAAGGUGCGGCCAACUACGUGCCAGCAGCCGCGGUGACACGUAGGCACCAAGCGUUAUCCGGAUUUAUUGGGCGUAAAGAGCUCGUAGGCGGUUCGGUAAGUCGGGUGUGAAAACUCUGGGCUCAACCCAGAGAGGCCACCCGAUACUGCUGUGACUAGAGUGCGGUAGGGGAGCGGGGAAUUCCUGGUGUAGCGGUGAAAUGCGCAGAUAUCAGGAGGAACACCAGCGGCGAAGGCGCCGCUCUGGGCCGUAACUGACGCUGAGGAGCGAAAGCAUGGGUAGCAAACAGGAUUAGAUACCCUGGUAGUCCAUGCCGUAAACGUUGGGCACUAGGUGUGGGUCUCAACCAACGAGAUCCGCGCCGUCGCUAACGCAUUAAGUGCCCCGCCUGGGGAGUCGGUCGCAAGACUAAAACUCAAAGGAUAGUACGACGCGAGACGACGCGACGACGACGACGACGGAGGAGGAG